GUGCAGCCGCCGCGGUAAUACGGAGGGUGCAAGCGUUGUUCGGAAUUACUGGGCGCAAAGCGCGCGUAGGCGGCUUUUUAAGUCAGAUGUGAGAGUCCACGGCUCUACCGUGGAAGUGCAUUUGAAACUGGAAAGCUUGAGUAUCAGAGGGGAUGGUGGAAUUCCCGGUGUAGAGGUGAAAUUCGUAGAUAUCGGGAGGAAUACCGGUGGCGAAGGCGACCAUCUGGCUGAAUACUGACGCUGAGGUGCGAAAGCGUGGGGAGCAAACAGGAUUAGAUA
RNAcentral lists this ribosomal RNA (279 nucleotides) under uncultured bacterium. Its description in RNAcentral is "partial 16S ribosomal RNA". It matches the Rfam family "Bacterial small subunit ribosomal RNA", at positions 505 to 784 of the family's 1533-position model. The record is from RNAcentral.